UACGUAGGGGGCAAGCGUUGUCCGGAAUCAUUGGGCGUAAAGAGCGCGUAGGCGGUCCGGUAAGUCCGCUGUGAAAGUCAAGGGCUCAACCCUUGAAUGCCGGUGGAUACUGUCGGGCUAGAGUCCGGAAGAGGCGAGUGGAAUUCCUGGUGUAGCGGUGAAAUGCGCAGAUAUCAGGAGGAACACCGAUGGCGAAGGCAGCUCGCUGGGACGGUACUGACGCUGAGGCGCGAAAGCGUGGGGAGCAAACAGG
RNAcentral lists this ribosomal RNA (253 nucleotides) under uncultured bacterium. RNAcentral's name for it is "partial 16S ribosomal RNA". It matches the Rfam family "Bacterial small subunit ribosomal RNA", at positions 524 to 776 of the family's 1533-position model. The record is from RNAcentral.